Molecule: microRNA precursor, 196 nt
Organism: Oryza sativa Indica Group (long-grained rice)
Lineage: Eukaryota; Viridiplantae; Streptophyta; Magnoliopsida; Poales; Poaceae
Rfam family: MIR812 microRNA precursor family
Source: Rfam
AAAAAAGCAAACCCUGAAUUUUCGUGUCCUGUCCGUCUCAUAUGAAAUUUUUUUAUAAUUCGUAUUUUCAUUGUUGUUAGAUGAUAAAACAUGAUUAAUAUUUUAUGCGUGACUUGUCUUUUUAAUUUUUUUCAUAAUUUUUUCAAAUAAGACGGACGGUCAAACGUUAGACACGGAAAUUAGGGUUUGUCUUUUU